UACGUAGGGUGCGAGCGUUAAUCGGAAUUACUGGGCGUAAAGCGUGCGCAGGCGGUUUUGUAAGCCAGAUGUGAAAUCCCCGGGCUUAACCUGGGAAUGGCAUUUGGGACUGCAAGGCUGGAGUGUGGCAGAGGAGACUGGAAUUCCUGGUGUAGCAGUGAAAUGCGUAGAUAUCAGGAGGAAUACCGAUGGCGAAGGCGGCUCUCUGGGACGGUACUGACGCUGAGACGCGAAAGCGUGGGGAGCGAACAGG
This 253-nucleotide ribosomal RNA is filed under the name uncultured bacterium. Its description in RNAcentral is "partial 16S ribosomal RNA". It matches the Rfam family "Bacterial small subunit ribosomal RNA", at positions 524 to 776 of the family's 1533-position model. The record is from RNAcentral.